This 224-nucleotide unclassified non-coding RNA is filed under the name plant metagenome. Its description in RNAcentral is "partial contains small subunit ribosomal RNA, internal transcribed spacer 1, and 5.8S ribosomal RNA". The record is from RNAcentral.
ACUCCGUUGGUGAACCAGCGGAGGGAUCAUUACAGGACUCGCAAGACUCCUUCACCCUGUGAACCUCACUACAAGCACGUUGCUUCGGCGGGUGUCCCGGCGGGGGUUUUCCCUCGCCGGGGCGCACAGCCCGCCGGCAGCCUACUAUACCCUGUCUCUUUGCGUUGGCAUCUCGAGAAAAAACAAACAAGUUAAAACUUUCAACAACGGAUCUCUUGGUUCUG